RNAcentral lists this transfer RNA (72 nucleotides) under Synechococcus phage S-H9-1. It matches the Rfam family "tRNA". Rfam says of the family: Transfer RNA (tRNA) molecules are approximately 80 nucleotides in length. Their secondary structure includes four short double-helical elements and three loops (D, anti-codon, and T loops). The record is from Rfam by way of RNAcentral. Lineage: Duplodnaviria; Heunggongvirae; Uroviricota; Caudoviricetes; Pantevenvirales; Kyanoviridae.
UCCUCUGUAGCUCAGCGGUAGAGCUAUCGACUGUUAAUCGAUUGGUCCCAGGUUCGAAUCCUGGCGGGGGAG